RNAcentral lists this ribosomal RNA (925 nucleotides) under uncultured bacterium. Its description in RNAcentral is "bacterial SSU rRNA". It matches the Rfam family "Bacterial small subunit ribosomal RNA", at positions 8 to 916 of the family's 1533-position model. The record is from RNAcentral.
AGAGUUUGAUCAUGGCUCAGGACGAACGCUGGCGGCGUGCCUAAUACAUGCAAGUCGAGCGAAUUGAUGGGAGCUUGCUCCCUGAUAUUAGCGGCGGACGGGUGAGUAACACGUGGGUAACCUGCCUGUAAGAUUGGGAUAACUCCGGGAAACCGGAGCUAAUACCGGAUAACAUUUUGAACCGCAUGGUUCGAAAUUGAAAGAUGGUUUCGGCUAUCACUUACAGAUGGACCCGCGGCGCAUUAGCUAGUUGGUGAGGUAACGGCUCACCAAGGCAACGAUGCGUAGCCGACCUGAGAGGGUGAUCGGCCACACUGGGACUGAGACACGGCCCAGACUCCUACGGGAGGCAGCAGUAGGGAAUCUUCCGCAAUGGACGAAAGUCUGACGGAGCAACGCCGCGUGAACGAUGAAGGCCUUCGGGUCGUAAAGUUCUGUUGUUAGGGAAGAACAAGUACCAGAGUAACUGCUGGUACCUUGACGGUACCUAACCAGAAAGCCACGGCUAACUACGUGCCAGCAGCCGCGGUAAUACGUAGGUGGCAAGCGUUGUCCGGAAUUAUUGGGCGUAAAGCGCGCGCAGGUGGUUUCUUAAGUCUGAUGUGAAAGCCCACGGCUCAACCGUGGAGGGUCAUUGGAAACUGGGGAACUUGAGUGCAGAAGAGGAAAGUGGAAUUCCAAGUGUAGCGGUGAAAUGCGUAGAGAUUUGGAGGAACACCAGUGGCGAAGGCGACUUUCUGGUCUGUAACUGACACUGAGGCGCGAAAGCGUGGGGGAGCGAACAGGAUUAGAUACCCUGGUAGUCCACGCCGUAACGAUGAGUGCUAAGUGUUAGAGGGUUUCCGCCCUUUAGUGCUGCAGCUAACGCAUUAAGCACUCCGCCUGGGGAGUACGGUCGCAGACUGAAACUCAAAGGAAUUGACGG